RNAcentral lists this transfer RNA (72 nucleotides) under Streptomyces mutabilis. The record is from RNAcentral. Lineage: Bacteria; Bacillati; Actinomycetota; Actinomycetes; Kitasatosporales; Streptomycetaceae.
AGCCAGGCGUGGUGAGUCGUACGACGGCGCCGGCGGGGGAGACGUUGUCGGCGGCGUCCCGCGCCCGGACCG